GAUUAUUGUGAUGAUUCAUAAUAACUGAUCGGAUCAAGGUGUACCUUGAUAGAUCAUUCAAGUUUCUGCCCUAUCAGCUUUCGAUGGUAGUGUAUUGGACUACCAUGGCAGUCACGGGUAACGGAGAAUUAGGGGUUCGAUUCCGGAGAGGGGAGCCUGAGAAACGGCUACCACAUCUACGGAAGGCAGCAGGCGCGUAAAAUUACCCAAUCCUGAUUCAGGGAGGUAGUGACAAGAAAUAACAACUCGGGGCCUCACGGCUUACGAGAUUGCAAUGAGAACAAUUUAAAUCUCUUAGCGAGGAACAAUUGGAGGGCAAGUCUGGUGCCAGCAGCCGCGGUAAUUCCAGCUCCAAUAGCGUAUAUUAAAGUUGUUGCAGUUAAAAAGCUCGUAGUUGAAUUUCUGAUUAUGGAUGUAGCGG
RNAcentral lists this ribosomal RNA (421 nucleotides) under uncultured eukaryote. Its description in RNAcentral is "SSU rRNA". It matches the Rfam family "Eukaryotic small subunit ribosomal RNA", at positions 236 to 660 of the family's 1831-position model. The record is from RNAcentral.